CCCAGCAUGGUACUAGAGUGUACUAUGUUAUUUAUACGCACACAGAUAAAUCCGCGAGCGCACGGAUACCGUUGUAGCUUUUACCCGGUUAAAGGUUUUAUCGUAUCCACAGGGAAACGGGAGAACUGAUCUACGCUCUAACUUAACCUAGAUAGAUGGGUAAGUGUAAAUAGGAAAGAUGGUAGAAUUGAAUAAGAACAAUAUUAAAGGUAAAAUGAUAAUGGGGGAAUAUAGAGUAGAGCAAUCUAAUAUAUGGGCGAUGGUAGGAGUAUAGAGAGGAUAACUAUGGUUUCUCUACUUCAAAGGGGUAUGUCUAUGUCUGGGACGAACCACGUGAUAAGAAUACACCACAAAGGAUGCUUAUCCAUGGGCCGAUAAACCCUACCAGUCCUGCUAACGAGAGGUGGACUUCAGGGGACCAACGUAACUGACACCUACGCGGCCUACCACACG
Molecule: long non-coding RNA, 453 nt
Filed under: Sorghum bicolor (sorghum)
Lineage: Eukaryota; Viridiplantae; Streptophyta; Magnoliopsida; Poales; Poaceae
Description: long non-coding RNA (SBIC_LNC008174)
Source: RNAcentral